UUAAGUUAUUAAGGGCGCACGGUGGAUGCCUUGGCACUAGAAGCCGAUGAAGGACGUUACUAACGACGAUAUGCUUUGGGGAGCUGUAAGUAAGCUUUGAUCCAGAGAUUUCCGAAUGGGGAAACCCAGCAUGAGUUAUGUCAUGUUAUCGAUAUGUGAAUACAUAGCAUAUCAGAAGGCACACCCGGAGAACUGAAACAUCUUAGUACCCGGAGGAAGAGAAAGAAAAUUCGAUUCCCUUAGUAGCGGCGAGCGAAACGGGAAGAGCCCAAACCAACAAGCUUGCUUGUUGGGGUUGUAGGACACUCUAUACGGAGUUACAAAGGACGACAUUAGACGAAUCAUCUGGAAAGAUGAAUCAAAGAAGGUAAUAAUCCUGUAGUCGAAAAUGUUGUCUCUCUUGAGUGGAUCCUGAGUACGACGGAGCACGUGAAAUUCCGUCGGAAUCUGGGAGGACCAUCUCCUAAGGCUAAAUACUCUCUAGUGACCGAUAGUGAACCAGUACCGUGAGGGAAAGGUGAAAAGCACCCCGGAAGGGGAGUGAAAUAGAACCUGAAACCGUGUGCUUACAAGUAGUCAGAGCCCGUUAAUGGGUGAUGGCGUGCCUUUUGUAGAAUGAACCGGCGAGUUACGAUUUGAUGCAAGGUUAAGCAGUAAAUGUGGAGCCGUAGCGAAAGCGAGUCUGAAUAGGGCGUUUAGUAUUUGGUCGUAGACCCGAAACCAGGUGAUCUACCCUUGGUCAGGUUGAAGUUCAGGUAACACUGAAUGGAGGACCGAACCGACUUACGUUGAAAAGUGAGCGGAUGAACUGAGGGUAGCGGAGAAAUUCCAAUCGAACCUGGAGAUAGCUGGUUCUCUCCGAAAUAGCUUUAGGGCUAGCCUCAAGUGAUGAUUAUUGGAGGUAGAGCACUGUUUGGACGAGGGGCCCCUCUCGGGUUACCGAAUUCAGACAAACUCCGAAUGCCAAUUAAUUUAACUUGGGAGUCAGAACAUGGGUGAUAAGGUCCGUGUUCGAAAGGGAAACAGCCCAGACCACCAGCUAAGGUCCCAAAAUAUAUGUUAAGUGGAAAAGGAUGUGGCGUUGCCCAGACAACUAGGAUGUUGGCUUAGAAGCAGCCAUCAUUUAAAGAGUGCGUAAUAGCUCACUAGUCGAGUGACACUGCGCCGAAAAUGUACCGGGGCUAAACAUAUUACCGAAGCUGUGGAUUGUCCUUUGGACAAUGGUAGGAGAGCGUUCUAAGGGCGUUGAAGCAUGAUCGUAAGGACAUGUGGAGCGCUUAGAAGUGAGAAUGCCGGUGUGAGUAGCGAAAGACGGGUGAGAAUCCCGUCCACCGAUUGACUAAGGUUUCCAGAGGAAGGCUCGUCCGCUCUGGGUUAGUCGGGUCCUAAGCUGAGGCCGACAGGCGUAGGCGAUGGAUAACAGGUUGAUAUUCCUGUACCACCUAUAAUCGUUUUAAUCGAUGGGGGGACGCAGUAGGAUAGGCGAAGCGUGCGAUUGGAUUGCACGUCUAAGCAGUAAGGCUGAGUAUUAGGCAAAUCCGGUACUCGUUAAGGCUGAGCUGUGAUGGGGAGAAGACAUUGUGUCUUCGAGUCGUUGAUUUCACACUGCCGAGAAAAGCCUCUAGAUAGAAAAUAGGUGCCCGUACCGCAAACCGACACAGGUAGUCAAGAUGAGAAUUCUAAGGUGAGCGAGCGAACUCUCGUUAAGGAACUCGGCAAAAUGACCCCGUAACUUCGGGAGAAGGGGUGCUCUUUAGGGUUAACGCCCAGAAGAGCCGCAGUGAAUAGGCCCAAGCGACUGUUUAUCAAAAACACAGGUCUCUGCUAAACCGUAAGGUGAUGUAUAGGGGCUGACGCCUGCCCGGUGCUGGAAGGUUAAGAGGAGUGGUUAGCUUCUGCGAAGCUACGAAUCGAAGCCCCAGUAAACGGCGGCCGUAACUAUAACGGUCCUAAGGUAGCGAAAUUCCUUGUCGGGUAAGUUCCGACCCGCACGAAAGGCGUAACGAUUUGGGCACUGUCUCAACGAGAGACUCGGUGAAAUCAUAGUACCUGUGAAGAUGCAGGUUACCCGCGACAGGACGGAAAGACCCCGUGGAGCUUUACUGUAGCCUGAUAUUGAAAUUCGGCACAGCUUGUACAGGAUAGGUAGGAGCCUUUGAAACGUGAGCGCUAGCUUACGUGGAGGCGCUGGUGGGAUACUACCCUAGCUGUGUUGGCUUUCUAACCCGCACNNNNNNNNNNNNNNNNNNACUUAUCGUGGUGGGAGACAGUGUCAGGCGGGCAGUUUGACUGGGGCGGUCGCCUCCUAAAAGGUAACGGAGGCGCUCAAAGGUUCCCUCAGAAUGGUUGGAAAUCAUUCAUAGAGUGUAAAGGCAUAAGGGAGCUUGACUGCGAGACCUACAAGUCGAGCAGGGUCGAAAGACGGACUUAGUGAUCCGGUGGUUCCGCAUGGAAGGGCCAUCGCUCAACGGAUAAAAGCUACCCCGGGGAUAACAGGCUUAUCUCCCCCAAGAGUUCACAUCGACGGGGAGGUUUGGCACCUCGAUGUCGGCUCAUCGCAUCCUGGGGCUGUAGUCGGUCCCAAGGGUUGGGCUGUUCGCCCAUUAAAGCGGUACGCGAGCUGGGUUCAGAACGUCGUGAGACAGUUCGGUCCCUAUCCGUCGUGGGCGUAGGAAAUUUGAGAGGAGCUGUCCUUAGUACGAGAGGACCGGGAUGGACAUACCUCUGGUGUACCAGUUGUCGUGCCAACGGCAUAGCUGGGUAGCUAUGUGUGGACGGGAUAAGUGCUGAAAGCAUCUAAGCAUGAAGCCCCCCUCAAGAUGAGAUUUCCCAACUUCGGUUAUAAGAUCCCUCAAAGAUGAUGAGGUUAAUAGGUUCGAGGUGGAAGCAUGGUGACAUGUGGAGCUGACGAAUACUAAUCGAUCGAAGACUUAAUCAA
Molecule: ribosomal RNA, 2938 nt
Filed under: Staphylococcus aureus
Lineage: Bacteria; Bacillati; Bacillota; Bacilli; Caryophanales; Staphylococcaceae
Description: bacterial LSU rRNA
Rfam family: Bacterial large subunit ribosomal RNA
Source: RNAcentral